This 449-nucleotide ribosomal RNA is filed under the name uncultured bacterium. Its description in RNAcentral is "SSU rRNA". It matches the Rfam family "Bacterial small subunit ribosomal RNA", at positions 26 to 518 of the family's 1533-position model. The record is from RNAcentral.
AGAGCGAACGCUGGCGGCAGGCCUAACACAUGCAAGUCGAGCGCCCCGCAAGGGGAGCGGCAGACGGGAGAGUAACACGUGGGAACGUACCCUUCAGUUCGGAACAACCCAGGGAAACUUGGGCUAAUACCGGAUACGUCCGUAAGGAGAAAGAUUUAUCGCUGAAGGAUCGGCCCGCGUCUGAUUAGCUUGUUGGUGAGGUAACGGCUCACCAAGGCUACGAUCAGUAGCUGGUCUGAGAGGAUGAUCAGCCUCACUGGGACUGAGACACGGCCCAGACUCCUACGGGAGGCAGCAGUGGGGAAUAUUGGACAAUGGGCGCAAGCCUGAUCCAGCCAUGCCGCGUGGGUGAUGAAGGCCCUAGGGUUGUAAACCCCUUUCAGCAGGGACGAAGCGAAAGUGACGGUACCUGCAGAAGAAGCGCCGGCUAACUACGUGCCAGCAGCCGC